UGGGGAAUCUUGCGCAAUGGGGGAAACCCUGACGCAGCGACGCCGCGUGAGUGAUGAAGGCCUUCGGGUCGUAAAGCUCUGUGGGGAGGGACGAAUAAGUAUUGGCUAACAUCCAAUAUGAUGACGGUACCUCCUUAGCAAGCACCGGCUAACUCUGUGCCAGCAGCCGCGGUAAGACAGAGGGGGGCAAGCGUUGUUCGGAAUUACUGGGCGUAAAGGGCUCGUAGGCGGCCAACUAAGUCAGACGUGAAAUCCCUCGGCUUAACCGGGGAACUGCGUCUGAUACUGGAUGGCUUGAAUCCGGGAGAGGGAUGUGGAAUUCCAGGUGUAGCGGUGAAAUGCGUAGAUAUCCGGAGGAACACCGGUGGCGAAGGCGACAUCCUGGACCAAUUCUGACGCUGAGGAGCGAAAGCCAGGGGAGCAAACGGGAUUAGAUACCCAAGUAGUCCCUGAG
This 454-nucleotide ribosomal RNA is filed under the name uncultured bacterium. Its description in RNAcentral is "bacterial SSU rRNA". It matches the Rfam family "Bacterial small subunit ribosomal RNA", at positions 355 to 801 of the family's 1533-position model. The record is from RNAcentral.